This 961-nucleotide long non-coding RNA is filed under the name Arabidopsis thaliana (thale cress). Its description in RNAcentral is "long non-coding RNA (ATHA_LNC000550)". Lineage: Eukaryota; Viridiplantae; Streptophyta; Magnoliopsida; Brassicales; Brassicaceae. The record is from RNAcentral.
UUUUUGUAAAAGUUUGCUUUCUGUUUUGGAAGUUGUUUGGACGUUCUGUGCUAUGUUUUGGUUUUGUGUGUUUGAAUUUCGUUGUGUCUUAGUGAGUUUAAGUUGUGUUUGUGUUUCAUUUUUUUGUGUGCAUUUGAGCGUGUGUUUUCGUGAAUUUAUGUUCUGUUUUUGAGACAGUGCAAGAGAUGUGAUAAGUGAGAGAGAGAAAGAUUGAGAGAGAGAGAGAGAGUGAGCUACUUCAUCAAUCACCAUACCUUUGAAUGGUCUUCAGAUCUUCUUUGCAGCUAAACACUCCUUCAUCUUGAAACCCUUUAUCAAGAGUUCUUUGGUCACCAAAGAACCCUUGUUAAAAAUAAAACGAAUAUUUAACAGGAAGAAACAUGUUACCGUCAAAUCAAAUUACCUUAACAGGAUGCACUAAAAGAAUGCUUGGUCUCCCAUAUUCACGAGAUUUUGGCCAUCUUAUCACUGAGGCUCAAGAUUAGGGGAUUCUGUUACUGUCAUCCACAACCAGAGCCUUUUUCUGUGUGUAUUAUGUUGAUUCCCCUGAUCAGAAAGUAAUUAAUUACCCAAUAGAACCGAAAAUACAAUGUCUGUCAAAAAGACAGAAACCAUAACUCUUAAAAAGCCUUAAACAUUAUUGAGAUAACCAGAAUGCGAUAUAAAAAUAAGUACCUGGGGAAACUUCCGCAAGCAUCAGAGGCCGUACUCAAACACCACCUUCAAGCACUAUUCACCAUCACAAACAAACACAUCAAUAAUCUGAUCCAUAAAAAGUACCACAAAAGAUGGCACCAUCAUAAACAAACACAUCAUAAUCUGAUCCACAAAAGUACCACAGGAGAUGGCAGAAAUGGGUUAUCGAAGCAGCUAAGAAAAUCAUUAAUAUGUUUGAGGCACUUUGAGCUUUGCGGGCAUUCUAUAGUUAGCUACCUUUUCCUGGUAAUUGUUUAGCGACUGG